RNAcentral lists this ribosomal RNA (1257 nucleotides) under metagenome. Its description in RNAcentral is "bacterial SSU rRNA". It matches the Rfam family "Archaeal small subunit ribosomal RNA", at positions 177 to 1445 of the family's 1478-position model. The record is from RNAcentral.
GUUUGCCUUGAUACCAGGCAAAACCGCCCGAAGAAGGGUCUGCGUCGGAUUAGGUUGAUGUUAGGGUAAUGGCCUAACAUGCCGACAAUCCGUAUCGGCUAUGAAAGUAGGAGCCGGGAGAUGGAUACUGAGAUAAAGAUCCAGGUUCUACGGAACGCAGCAGGCGCGAAAACUCCGCAAUGCGCGAAAGCGUGACGGGGGGACUCCAAGUGUCCCGGUACAACCGGGACUUUUGUGGUAUUUAAAACGUACUACGAAUAAGGAUUGGUCAAGACUAGUGCCAGCCUCCGCGGUAAAACUAGCAGUUCGAGUGGUAGCCACGAUUAUUGGGCUUAAAGCGUCCGUAGCCGGUCUAGUAAGUUCUCUGUGAAAUCCUUGGGCUUAACUCAAGGGCUUGCAGAGAAUACUGUUAGGCUAGGAGUUGGGAGAAGUUGAGGGAACUACUGGGGUAGCGGCGAAAUGCUAUAAUCCUAGUAGGACCACCAAUGGCGAAGGCACUCAACUAGAACAAGCUCGACGGUAAGGGACGAGAGCUAGGGGAGCAAACCGGAUUAGAUACCCGGGUAGUCCUAGCCGUAAACGAUGUGGACUGAGUGUUUCCCGAACUUCGGGUUCGGGAUGUGCUGAAGGGAAACCGUUAAGUCCACCGCCUGGGGAGUACGGUCGCAAGUCUGAAACUUAAAGGAAUUGGCGGGGGAGCACCACAAGGGGUGGAGUCUGCGGUUCAAUUGGAUACAACGCCGGGAAACUUACCAGGGACGACGGCACUAUGAAGGCCAGUCUAAAGGGCUUGCCGAAGGAGCCGAGAGGUAGUGCAUGGCCGUCGCCAGCUCGUACCGUGAGGCGUGCGGUUAAGUCCGUUAACGAGCGAGACCUGUGCCUCUAUUUGCGAACCCGUAAAGGGAGCACUAUAGAGGGACCGCCUCUGAUGAAGAGGAGGAAGGCGCAGUCGACGAUAGGUCAGUAUGCUCCGAAUUUCCUGGGCUACACGUGGACUACAAUGGCAUGAACAAUGGGUUGCAACUUCGAAAGGAGGAGCUAAUCUCCAAAUCAUGUCUUAGUUCAGAUUGAGGGUUGAAACUCACCCUCAUGAAGAUGAAAUCCCUAGUAGUCGCUGGUUACUAUCCAGCGGUGAAUAUGUCCACGCUCCUUGCACACACCGCCCGUCAAACCAAUUGAGUGAGCUUAGGCUGAGGCUUUCUCAUCAGGGAAAGUCGAAUUCUAGGUUCGCAAGAGGGGUUAAGUCGUAACAAGGUA